This 506-nucleotide ribosomal RNA is filed under the name uncultured bacterium. Its description in RNAcentral is "partial 16S ribosomal RNA". It matches the Rfam family "Bacterial small subunit ribosomal RNA", at positions 28 to 523 of the family's 1533-position model. The record is from RNAcentral.
GAUGAACGCUAGCGGCAGGCCUAACACAUGCAAGUCGAGGGGCAGCACAUAAAGUGGUUUACUACUUUUGGUGGCGACCGGCGGACGGGUGCGUAACGCGUAUGCAACCUGCCUCCAACAGGGGGAUAACGGAGAGAAAUUUCCACUAAUACCCCAUAAUAUCAGAAUCGGCAUCGGUUUUGGUUGAAAACUCCGGUGGUUGGAGAUGGGCAUGCGUUGUAUUAGAUAGUUGGUGAGGUAACAGCUCACCAAGUCAACGAUACAUAGGGAGACUGAGAGGAUGGCCACCCACACCGGUACUGAGACACGGACCAGACUCCUCCGGGAGGCAGCAGUGAGGAAUAUUGGUCAAUGGGGGCAACCCUGAACCAGCCAUGCCGCGUGCAGGAAGACGGCUCUAUGAGUUGUAAACUGCUUUUACAAGGGGAUAAAUCGGUGUACGUGUACACCGUUGAAGGUACCUUGGGAAUAAGGAUCGGCUAACUCCGUGCCAGCCGCCGCCGUAA